This 18-nucleotide small RNA is filed under the name Arabidopsis thaliana (thale cress). Its description in RNAcentral is "ATSL046690". Lineage: Eukaryota; Viridiplantae; Streptophyta; Magnoliopsida; Brassicales; Brassicaceae. The record is from RNAcentral.
GAGAGAAGAGAGAAGGAA